This 761-nucleotide ribosomal RNA is filed under the name uncultured bacterium. RNAcentral describes it as "bacterial SSU rRNA". It matches the Rfam family "Bacterial small subunit ribosomal RNA", at positions 8 to 764 of the family's 1533-position model. The record is from RNAcentral.
AGAGUUUGAUCCUGGCUCAGAUUGAACGCUGGCGGCAUGCCUUACACAUGCAAGUCGAGCGGCAGCGCGGGGGCAACCCUGGCGGCGAGCGGCGCACGGGUGAGUAAUGCAUCGGAACGUGUCCUCUUGUGGGGGAUAACCAGUCGAAAGACUGGCUAAUACCGCAUGAGCACGAGAGUGGAAAGCGGGGGACCGUAAGGCCUCGCGCGAGAGGAGCGGCCGAUGCCGGAUUAGCUAGUUGGUGGGGUAAAAGCCUACCAAGGCGACGAUCCGUAGCUGGUUUGAGAGAACGACCAGCCACACUGGGACUGAGACACGGCCCAGACUCCUACGGGAGGCAGCAGUGGGGAAUUUUGGACAAUGGGGGCAACCCUGAUCCAGCCAUGCCGCGUGUGUGAAGAAGGCCUUCGGGUUGUAAAGCACUUUCGGCCGGAACGAAAUCGCGCGGAUGAACAUUCCGCGUGGAUGACGGUACCGGAAGAAGAAGCACCGGCUAACUACGUGCCAGCAGCCGCGGUAAUACGUAGGGUGCGAGCGUUAAUCGGAAUUACUGGGCGUAAAGUGUGCGCAGGCGGCCGAGCAAGUCGAGUGUGAAAGCCCCGAGCUUAACUUGGGAACUGCGCUCGAAACUACUUGGCUAGAGUGUGGCAGAGGGAGGUGGAAUUCCACGUGUAGCGGUGAAAUGCGUAUAGAUGUGGAGGAACACCGAUGGCGAAGGCAGCCUCCUGGGCCAACACUGACGCUCAUGCACGAAAGCGUGG